UCAGGCCUAACACAUGCAAGUCGAACGGCAGCACAGUAAGAGCUUGCUCUUACGGGUGGCGAGUGGCGGACGGGUGAGGAAUACAUCGGAAUCUACUUUUUCGUGGGGGAUAACGUAGGGAAACUUACGCUAAUACCGCAUACGACCUACGGGUGAAAGCAGGGGAUCUUCGGACCUUGCGCGAUUGAAUGAGCCGAUGUCGGAUUAGCUAGUUGGCGGGGUAAAGGCCCACCAAGGCGACGAUCCGUAGCUGGUCUGAGAGGAUGAUCAGCCACACUGGAACUGAGACACGGUCCAGACUCCUACGGGAGGCAGCAGUGGGGAAUAUCGGACAAUGGGCGCAAGCCUGAUCCAGCCAUACCGCGUGGGUGAAGAAGGCCUUCGGGUUGUAAAGCCCUUUUGUUGGGAAAGAAAUCCAGCCGGCUAAUACCUGGUUGGGAUGACGGUACCCAAAGAAUAAGCACCGGCUAACUUCGUGCCAGCAGCCGCGGUAAUACGAAGGGUGCAAGCGUUACUCGGAAUUACUGGGCGUAAAGCGUGCGUAGGUGGUCGUUUAAGUCCGUUGUGAAAGCCCUGGGCUCAACCUGGGAACUGCAGUGGAUACUGGGCGACUAGAGUGUGGUAGAGGGUAGCGGAAUUCCUGGUGUAGC
This 650-nucleotide ribosomal RNA is filed under the name uncultured bacterium. RNAcentral describes it as "bacterial SSU rRNA". It matches the Rfam family "Bacterial small subunit ribosomal RNA", at positions 42 to 679 of the family's 1533-position model. The record is from RNAcentral.